UACAGAGGGUGCAAGCGUUAAUCGGAAUUACUGGGCGUAAAGGGCGCGUAGGUUGUUGUUUAAGUGAGAUGUGAAAUCCCCGGGCCUAACCUGGGAACUGCAUCUUAUACUGGAUGACUGGAGUGCAAUAGAGGGUAGUGGAAUUUCCGGUGUAGCGGUGAAAUGCGUAGAUAUCGGAAGGAACACCAGUGGCGAAGGCGGCUACCUGGAUUGACACUGACACUGAGGCGCGAGAGCGUGGGGAGCAAACAGG
RNAcentral lists this ribosomal RNA (253 nucleotides) under uncultured bacterium. Its description in RNAcentral is "partial 16S ribosomal RNA". It matches the Rfam family "Bacterial small subunit ribosomal RNA", at positions 524 to 776 of the family's 1533-position model. The record is from RNAcentral.